This 425-nucleotide ribosomal RNA is filed under the name uncultured Actinomycetes bacterium. Its description in RNAcentral is "bacterial SSU rRNA". It matches the Rfam family "Bacterial small subunit ribosomal RNA", at positions 958 to 1385 of the family's 1533-position model. Lineage: Bacteria; Bacillati; Actinomycetota; Actinomycetes. The record is from RNAcentral.
AACGCGAAGAACCUUACCUGGGUUUGACAUUUAGGGAAAAGCCGUAGAGAUACGGUGUCCUUCGGGGUCCUAAACAGGUGGUGCAUGGCUGUCGUCAGCUCGUGUCGUGAGAUGUUGGGUUAAGUCCCGCAACGAGCGCAACCCUUAUUCUAUGUUGCCAGCGCGUAAUGGCGGGGACUCGUAGGAGACUGCCGGGGUCAACUCGGAGGAAGGUGGGGACGACGUCAAGUCAUCAUGCCCCUUAUAUCCAGGGCUGCACACAUGCUACAAUGGCUGGUACAACGGGUCGCUAAUCCGCGAGGAGGCGCUAAUCCCCAAAGCCAGUCUCAGUUCGGAUCGCAGUCUGCAACUCGACUGCGUGAAGUCGGAGUCGCUAGUAAUCCCGGAUCAGCAACGCCGGGGUGAAUACGUUCCCGGGCCUUGUA